UAUCCACACAGACGUAAUCGGGGGGUUGUUCUUUCUUCUUCAAUACGUUCAUCAUAUAACUUAUAAAAUAAAACACAAGGAAGGAAAGGGAGUUCUUGAGAGAAUCAGAGAAACAGAGGAAGAGGGAUCGAGGGAGAAUGGGACGCAGAGGGAAGAGGAGAAGAGGGAGAUGGUGGCAGUGGGUACCCUUACCACCGUCACCGUCGUUAUCGCACGAGAGAGAGCGCUUCGCUUUGCAGAGGUGUUGAGUGAGAUAGACGCGAUGCGAGAAAGAGAAGGAGGUGUUGUCUUCGCCGCUGCGUCUCACCGCCGUUGAAGGAGUCACCACCGCUGGAACCCUAGCUGUCGCCGCCGAAGGGAGCUUCGCCAACGCCGUCGCCGAUUCUGUCCGAGACCACCGCUGCCGUCGCUAGGAGGAGUUGAACGAGAGAGCAUUGUACAGUGGUUAUGCCACUGCUAUUAUUGAGCCUCUUCGCCACUGCCGUCGUCGAUUGUCACUGGAGAACGCACUGUUGUCCCUCCGCUGCUAAGAACCAAUGCUGGAGCUACCGUGGGGUUUUAUAGUGCAUACACAUGACUUACAACAUGUGACUCACUUAAAAAAAUGUGGUUUGCGAUUUCUGGCCUAUUUUGGGCACAAUCCAACUCAUUUCUGAAGCUGUUGAAGCAAGAAUUCAUGGGAAAUGAACGAAGUAGUGUUAGUUUUAGGUUUUUAAUCAUGUUUUAAGGAAAUUUUAGAGGGAGAAGCUCCAACUUCUUUCUAGAUUUUUAGGUUUCUUAGUUUAUUUUCUCUCUAGUUUUAGGUUUUAAUUUUGUUUAGUUACAUUUUAUUGUUCUACUACCUUAGUUUAAUAUUUUUUCUCUUGUUAGUCUCUCAAUUUUUGCUAAUUGUAGUUAAUAAACUAUUGUUGAAUUCUAAUUUUUUUUUAAUGCAGUUUGAUAUUUUUUAUA
Non-coding RNA from Arachis ipaensis, 951 nucleotides. The record is from RefSeq and is a predicted model, not a curated record. NCBI's taxonomy places the organism in Eukaryota, Viridiplantae, Streptophyta, Magnoliopsida, Fabales, Fabaceae.